GCUGGGGGAGGGGGAGGCGGUCGGGGAGGGGGGCCUGUGUUUAAACUCUCGGAGCCGUUAAGUUGGUUCGCACUCCCCCGUGCGCGCGCAGCCCGGGUGGUGGCGGCUUGCGCAUGCGUGAGUCCUGGCCGAGCGGACCGCGCGCCCGUCGUGCGCGCUCGCGGCGGAGUGGUAGUGGCGGCUGCGAGGGUGGCGGCGCACGCGCAGUUGGCGCCUCGGCUUGUCCGGGUCUCGCGGGCAUCUUGUUUUGGUCUCGCGGGCGAGUGGGACGCGCUUGGUGUGUCGCGGGAGGGAGGUGGAGGCGCUUGGGCGCGAGGCAGAGCUGCGCGCGCACUCGGGGAAGGGGCGGGAGGGAGGCGGGCUUCGGAAGGGUUUGCAGGGGGCUUCCCCGUGAUCUCGUCUCAGUCCCCUCGCCUGGGAAGGGGGAAUUAAACAGGGGGAGGAGAUGAUCGAGAUGGCGGCGGAGAAGGAGCCCUUUCUGGUGCCGGCCCCGCCGCCGCCGCUCAAAGAGGAGUCGGGCGGAGGGGGCGGCCCCGAGGUGCGAUCGCACCGAGAGGCUGCCUCCGGGGAGCCCCGCGACGGGACGGAACGCGGGCCGGGCCCACGCGCGCACUCGGCCGGGGCCGCAGCCAGCGGAGGGGGCGGCCCCCAGGCACAGGCACAUGGGGAGCCCCACGGGCGAGCCACCGCUCCUGCGGACGUGGAGGAGGAGCGACGGGGAGGGGGCGGGACGGACCUGGGUGCUCCGGCACCUCCUCGACCUCGCAAUGGCUACCAGCCCCACCGACCCCCCGGGGGUGGCGGGGGCAAGAGAAGAAAUAGCUGUAACGUGGGGGGUGGGAGCGGUGGAGGCUUCAAACAUCCGGCCUUCAAGAGGCGCCGGCGGGUGAAUUCGGACUGCGACUCGGUGUUACCCUCCAAUUUUCUUCUGGGGGGCAAUAUAUUUGAUCCACUGAACCUGAAUAGCCUCCUGGAUGAGGAAGUAAGUAGAGCGCUCAAUGCGGAGACCCCAAAGUCAUCCCCACUUCCGGCCAAGGGGCGAGACCCUGUGGAGAUCCUCAUCCCCAAAGAUAUCACUGACCCGCUCAGUCUCAACACUUGCACUGAUGAGGCCCAUGUAGUUCUGGCCUCGCCACUCAAGAUCGGUCGCAAGCGCCAUAGACACCGUGGACCGCACCACCAGCAGCAGCAGGCGUCUGGAGGGAACGAUAGCCACGCCGUGCUGCCCGCUGACCCUCUCACCCCCUCACUCCAAGGGGAGAGUGCCACGCAGCAGCAGCACAGAGGCCAGAACCGCGAUGCCCCUCAACCCUAUGAACUCAACACAGCCAUCAACUGCAGGGACGAAGUUGUGUCUCCCCUUCCAUCUGCCCUGCAGAGCUCCUCAGGCUCCCUUUCUGCCCCUCCAGCUGCCUCAGUUACCUCUGCACCCUCAUCUUCCUCCUCCCGACACCGCAAACGCCGCAGGACUUCCAGCAAGUCGGAGGCAGGGGCUAGGAGUGGAAGCCAGGGUUCCAAGGAAAAGGGCAGAGGGAGUGGGGGAGGCCGCCAUCACCACCCACCACCUGCAACUGGCUUCAAAAAGCAACAGCAAAAGUUCCAGUAUGGGAACUACUGCAAAUACUAUGGCUAUCGCAAUCCUUCCUGUGAGGACGUGCGCCUUAGGGUGUUGAAGCCAGAGUGGUUUCAAGGCCGGGACGUCCUAGAUCUGGGCUGCAAUGUUGGCCAUCUGACCCUAAGUAUUGCCUGCAAGUGGGGCCCAGCCCGCAUGGUUGGGCUGGACAUUGAUCCACGGCUUAUCCACUCUGCCCGCCAAAAUAUCCGACACUACCUGUCCGAGGAGCUUCGUCUCCAAGCCCAGACUUCUGAGGGUGACCCAGGGACAGAGGGGGAGGAAGGGACUGCCACUGUCCGAAAAAGGAGCUGCUUCCCAGCCUCACUGACAGCCAGCCGGGGUCCAAUCGCUGCACCCCAAGUGCCCUUGGAUGGAGCGGACACAUCUGUCUUCCCCAACAAUGUUGUCUUCGUCACGGUAAGAGGGUCCAAGUGUGAAGAUGAGAUUAAAUAGGAAUGUGUUGGGGGGAAGGUCAUGACCUAGAGGUUUAUUCCAGCAUCUGUUCCUACAAGAACCACCUCCUGGAGAGAACAGUAUGGAUUGGCAGAGAAUCUACUGGGUGUGUUGUCUCUCCUAUAACCUGGAAAGUGGGAUCUCUACCUUCAGGCUCUAACAUCUGGUAUUUUCUCCUGAAUCCAAGGAUCUCAGCCCCAAUAUGGGGACUGACAUGCCCUGCUUACAGUGGGGACUAUAAUCCAGACAGUCCACCUUCCCUUGAGAGUAACCUCUACUGCUCUGUCCAGGUAGAACCUUGUCCUCACAUCUGAGGGAGCAUGAGAUUGGGUGUCUUUGGGGGAGACUGGUGGCACUCCAAUACUUGUAGUUUGGGGCCUUUGAUAGGGGCCUCAUUUGCAUCAGCUGCUUUUUGUUUCCCUAGAUACAGCACACACUGCUUAAGUUACUGGUCAGGAACCAGCAGGCUUGGCUUUCGGUCUUUUCCGUGCUGACUCUGAAUAGCAGGAAAGGAGAGUUCCCAGCCUGAUAGAGCAUGUGUCCCUGUCUCCACUAGCUUUCUCCACUAGCGGUUGUUAGCCCAUCCAGAGGAAUGUGUGCGCAUGGCUUAGCCUGAAAAAAUGCCUUCCUGGAGAGUAUUGAUGAGUUUACCUUCCAGAGAAGGUUUCCUAAGUCUCUCUUCAUUGGAGAAAGAGUAGGCCUGAAACAUUAGAGCCUACUGAAGAGCCUAUAUGGAGCCACCCUCAGUCUUUAGAACCACCGCCUGUGUAUAUGAGGUCCCCUGGGCUGGGGUCUUGGGAGCACUCCAGUAUUCCCCAGUUACCCUCAGAUGAGUAGUUUGAUUUAAAUCUGCCCAGGCUCCCUUUUAGGUGUGUUUGGUUUGGCACCAGGAAAGGGAGAAGAGAGAACGAGACUGACAGAAGGCGCUGGCAGGAGGAGCCUCAGAGAAGAGGGCCACCAGGGCCCACGUGAGGGUAACUAUGUCCUGGACCGAGAUGAGCUGGUGGAUGCCCAAAGACCUGAGUAUGAUGUGGUGCUCUGCCUCAGCCUCACCAAGUGGGUGCACCUGAACUGGGGGGACGAGGGGCUAAAGCGCAUGUUCCGACGGAUCUACC
Arvicola amphibius (Eurasian water vole) is the source of this 3183-nucleotide RNA transcript. It is a transcript of the gene named methylphosphate capping enzyme, with no coding region annotated. The transcript is spliced from 2 exons. The record is from RefSeq and is a predicted model, not a curated record. NCBI's taxonomy places the organism in Eukaryota, Metazoa, Chordata, Mammalia, Rodentia, Cricetidae.